RNAcentral lists this transfer RNA (655 nucleotides) under uncultured Prochlorococcus sp. Its description in RNAcentral is "partial 16S-23S ribosomal RNA intergenic spacer". The stretch from base 243 to 315 matches the Rfam family "tRNA". Lineage: Bacteria; Bacillati; Cyanobacteriota; Cyanophyceae; Synechococcales; Prochlorococcaceae. The record is from RNAcentral.
UGUGAUGUCUAAAUCUUUUGAAUUUUAGGCCAUAAUCCUGUCACCUUAGGUCGAUCGGUACCUCAAUUUAAUAUCACAAAAACUGAGUAAUUAGUUUUUCAUUGAUUUUGAAUUCAGUUCCUAAACUUUGUCUAGGUCACACCCAACAAGGGUACUCCUGGGCCAUUAGCUCAGGUGGUUAGAGCGCACCCCUGAUAAGGGUGAGGUCCCUGGUUCAAGUCCAGGAUGGCCCAUUCGAUAUUGGGGGUAUAGCUCAGUUGGUAGAGCGCCUGCUUUGCAAGCAGGAUGUCAGCGGUUCGAGUCCGCUUACCUCCACUGAUCGACCUCCUUGAAUAGUUUUACGUUGAAGGAGAUUAUUGUUGGCGUGACCUAGAGUUUGUUAAUCAUCAAUGAACCUAGCUUCUUGUUAUUAGUUACUUUAAAUUUGGAUUUUAGUAAUUGCUGAUAAGACGCUGGGCUCGCUGCAAAAAAGUUUUGCAGAGAUGUUCAGCAGAACCUUGACAACUGCAUAGGAAAGUCUGGAAAGAAUAAAGCAUCUCAUGGAUGUAUUAUUCUUUAAUAAGUCAAAAUAGAUUUCUGUUUAAACAGUUUAUCUAAAUUUGGCUUGAAAGAAUAAUGUUUAAUUCUUUGAGUUAAGAGCUAAAAAUCUAUAAGG